AUACGUAGGUGACAAGCGUUAUCCGGAUUUACUGGGCGUAAAGGGCGUGUAGGCGGUCUUGCAAGUCAGAAGCGAAAUUCCUGAGCUCAACUCGGGCGCUGCUUCUGAAACUGCAGGACUUGAGUGCUGGAGGGGAUAGCGGAAUUCCUAGUGGAGCGGUAAAAUGCGCAGAUAUUAGGAAGAACACCGGUGGCGAAGGCGGCUAUCUGGACAGUAACUGACGCUGAGGCGCGAAAGCGUGGGGAGCAAACAGGAUUAGAUCCCCUGGUAGUCCACGCCGUAAACGAUGAAUACUAGGUGUAGGGGGUAUCGACUCCCUCUGUGCCGCAGUUAACACAAUAAGUAUUCCGCCUGGGGAGUACGGCCGCAAGGUUGAAACUUAAAUGAAUUGGCGGGG
This 397-nucleotide ribosomal RNA is filed under the name uncultured bacterium. RNAcentral's name for it is "partial 16S ribosomal RNA". It matches the Rfam family "Bacterial small subunit ribosomal RNA", at positions 523 to 918 of the family's 1533-position model. The record is from RNAcentral.